GUUAGGAAUAUUGGACAAUGGGCGCAAGCCUGAUCCAGCCAUGCCGCGUGAACGAUGAAGGCCUUCGGGUUGUAAAGUUCUUUAGCCGAUGAUUAUAAUGACUGUAGUCGGAAAAUAAGCCCCGGCUAACUUCGUGCCAGCAGCCGCGGUAAUACGAAGGGGGCGAGCGUUAUUCGGAAUCACUGGGCGUAAAGCGUGCGUAGGCGGUCUCGUAAGUUAGGAGUGAAAGCCCAGGGCUCAACCUUGGAAUUGCUCUUAAAACUGCAAGGCUCGAAUCUCGGAGAGGAUAGCGGAAUUUCCAGUGUAGCAGUGAAAUGCGUAGAUAUUGGAAGGAACACCAGUGGCGUAAGCGGCUAUCUGGACGAGUAUUGACGCUGAGGCACGAAAGCGUGGGGAUCAAACAGGAUUAGAAACCCCGGUAGUCC
This 425-nucleotide ribosomal RNA is filed under the name uncultured bacterium. RNAcentral describes it as "partial 16S ribosomal RNA". It matches the Rfam family "Bacterial small subunit ribosomal RNA", at positions 354 to 796 of the family's 1533-position model. The record is from RNAcentral.